This 1089-nucleotide ribosomal RNA is filed under the name Staphylococcus aureus. RNAcentral's name for it is "partial 23S ribosomal RNA". It matches the Rfam family "Bacterial large subunit ribosomal RNA", at positions 378 to 1473 of the family's 2925-position model. The record is from RNAcentral. Lineage: Bacteria; Bacillati; Bacillota; Bacilli; Caryophanales; Staphylococcaceae.
GUCGAAAAUGUUGUCUCUCUUGAGUGGAUCCUGAGUACGACGGAGCACGUGAAAUUCCGUCGGAAUCUGGGAGGACCAUCUCCUAAGGCUAAAUACUCUCUAGUGACCGAUAGUGAACCAGUACCGUGAGGGAAAGGUGAAAAGCACCCCGGAAGGGGAGUGAAAUAGAACCUGAAACCGUGUGCUUACAAGUAGUCAGAGCCCGUUAAUGGGUGAUGGCGUGCCUUUUGUAGAAUGAACCGGCGAGUUACGAUUUGAUGCAAGGUUAAGCAGUAAAUGUGGAGCCGUAGCGAAAGCGAGUCUGAAUAGGGCGUUUAGUAUUUGGUCGUAGACCCGAAACCAGGUGAUCUACCCUUGGUCAGGUUGAAGUUCAGGUAACACUGAAUGGAGGACCGAACCGACUUACGUUGAAAAGUGAGCGGAUGAACUGAGGGUAGCGGAGAAAUUCCAAUCGAACCUGGAGAUAGCUGGUUCUCUCCGAAAUAGCUUUAGGGCUAGCCUCAAGUGAUGAUUAUUGGAGGUAGAGCACUGUUUGGACGAGGGGCCCCUCUCGGGUUACCGAAUUCAGACAAACUCCGAAUGCCAAUUAAUUUAACUUGGGAGUCAGAACAUGGGUGAUAAGGUCCGUGUUCGAAAGGGAAACAGCCCAGACCACCAGCUAAGGUCCCAAAAUAUAUGUUAAGUGGAAAAGGAUGUGGCGUUGCCCAGACAACUAGGAUGUUGGCUUAGAAGCAGCCAUCAUUUAAAGAGUGCGUAAUAGCUCACUAGUCGAGUGACACUGCGCCGAAAAUGUACCGGGGCUAAACAUAUUACCGAAGCUGUGGAUUGUCCUUUGGACAAUGGUAGGAGAGCGUUCUAAGGGCGUUGAAGCAUGAUCGUAAGGACAUGUGGAGCGCUUAGAAGUGAGAAUGCCGGUGUGAGUAGCGAAAGACGGGUGAGAAUCCCGUCCACCGAUUGACUAAGGUUUCCAGAGGAAGGCUCGUCCGCUCUGGGUUAGUCGGGUCCUAAGCUGAGGCCGACAGGCGUAGGCGAUGGAUAACAGGUUGAUAUUCCUGUACCACCUAUAAUCGUUUUAAUCGAUGGGGGGAC